This 468-nucleotide unclassified non-coding RNA is filed under the name uncultured Paraglomus. RNAcentral's name for it is "SSU rRNA". It matches the Rfam family "Eukaryotic small subunit ribosomal RNA", at positions 569 to 1040 of the family's 1831-position model. The record is from RNAcentral. Lineage: Eukaryota; Fungi; Glomeromycota; Glomeromycetes; Paraglomerales; Paraglomeraceae.
AGCAGCCGCGGUAAUUCCAGCUCCAAUAGCGUAUAUUAAAGUUGUUGCAGUUAAAAAGCUCGUAGUUGAAUUUCGGGGUUAGUAGGUUGGUCAUGCCUCUGGUAUGUACUGGUCUCACUGAUUCCUCCUUCCUGAUGAAUCUUAAUGCCAUUAAUUUGGUGUUUUGGGGAAUUUGGACUGUUACUUUGAAAAAAUUAGAGUGUUUAAAGCAAGCUAACGCUUGAAUACAUUAGCAUGGAAUAAUGAAAUAGGACGUUCGAUCCUAUUUUGUUGGUUUCUAGGAUUGACGUAAUGAUUAAUAGGGAUAGUUGGGGGCAUUAGUAUUCAAUUGUCAGAGGUGAAAUUCUUGGAUUUAUUGAAGACUAACUACUGCGAAAGCAUUUGCCAAGGAUGUUUUCAUUAAUCAAGAACGAAAGUUAGGGGAUCGAAGACGAUCAGAUACCGUCGUAGUACUUAACCAUAAACUAU